AUACGGGAGGCAGCAGUGAGGAAUAUGGGACAAUGGGCGCAAGCCUGAUCCAGCCAUGCCGCGUGCAGGAUGAAGCAUCUAUGGUGUGUAAACUGCUUUUGUACGAGAAGAAACAUCCCGACGUGUCGGGACUUGACGGUAUCGUAAGAAUAAGGAUCGGCUAACUCCGUGCCAGUAGCCGCGGUAAUACGGAGGAUCCAAGCGUUAUCCGGAAUCAUUGGGUUUAAAGGGUCCGUAGGCGGUCUUAUAAGUCAGUGGUGAAAUCUCCCCGCUCAACGGGGAAACGGCCAUUGAUACUGUAGGACUUGAAUUAUUAGGAAGUAACUAGAAUAUGUAGUGUAGCAGUGAAAUGCUUAGAGAUUACAUGGAAUACCAAUUGCGAAGGCAGGUUACUACUAAUGGAUUGACGCUGAUGGACGAAAGCGUGGGUAGCGAACAGGAUUAGAUACCCGGGUAGUCCC
RNAcentral lists this ribosomal RNA (461 nucleotides) under uncultured bacterium. RNAcentral describes it as "bacterial SSU rRNA". It matches the Rfam family "Bacterial small subunit ribosomal RNA", at positions 339 to 797 of the family's 1533-position model. The record is from RNAcentral.